This 188-nucleotide microRNA precursor is filed under the name Oryza glumipatula. Its description in RNAcentral is "MIR812 microRNA precursor family". The stretch from base 20 to 188 matches the Rfam family "MIR812 microRNA precursor family", at positions 25 to 205 of the family's 205-position model. The record is from Rfam by way of RNAcentral. Lineage: Eukaryota; Viridiplantae; Streptophyta; Magnoliopsida; Poales; Poaceae.
UAUAGCUACUUCCUCACACUGUUCAUGUACCGUUUGUCUUAUUUAAAAGAAUUUUAUGAUUAGUAAUUUUAUUGUUAUUAGAUGAUAAAAUAUGAAUAGUAUUUUAUGUGUGACUAGUUUUUUUUAUAAAUUUUUUAAAUAAGACGGACGGUCAAGUUUUGGACACCGACAUCACGACUACACUUAUU